CUGUCAUUAAGAAGUGCUGUUGAAGCCUCUUUCUUCUCACGGGCUUCACGACGUCUUUUAAGAAUAUCAUCUUUAUUGCGUGCAUAAUACUUUUUUUUCCUCUGCCUCUUCAAUUCUUCAAGGUAUGUUAUAAAUACAUACCGCAACUUAGCACAUAAGCAACAGCAAAACAGUAGAGCAAAGUAGGAACUGGUUGAUGAUAGUUACCCAAUGUCUGGUUGUUGCUUAUAUCCUGAAAUGGGGUGCGCGCCCCCGCACUAUUGGGAGAUGUCAUACCUUCACCUUCAUGUGAAUAUUCAUGCCAUUAAAUUUUGAGAAGCAUGGAAACUGUGGAAAUUAAUCAUGAACACCACCAUUAGAUGCAAACAUAGUACACUGUCCUUUCUCUUGAUAUUGUGUUUCAGCAGAGUUCUACUUUGACAUUAAAAUCAAUUUUGAAUGGCAGAUCCCCUUAUUGGACCACAUUAAGUUGUUGGCCCUGCUAUUUAACGUCCAUGGUGAUGCUGAUGAUGAUCUUGGCAGGGGUAAUGCUUUGAUUUCAUAGACCUGUUGCUUUGAUAGCUAGAGAACUAAUUUCUCAAGAGGACUUGAUUUAGUGUUCUUAUGAUAUUUUUUAGCUGGCGCUGUUUUUUUUUCAUGGAUUUUUUCUGUCCACUACAUCAUAAAUCUGGUAAUAUAAAAGUAAUAUCUAUUUUUGAUUAUGUAAUGACCGACUGUUAUCUUGCUUCUUACUCAUGUAUCUUCAGAUUUAUGUAUCUGCCUGGGGUCUUGGCAUGUCCUUGAGCACGCAUCAGGUAUCUAUGUAUCUGUUGGUAUCUUAGUGCACUUUGUAGUUUCAGAGUAGCACUCUAUAAUUUGGCACAUGCUGACAUGCCUAUGAGUGUAUAUGUAUGUGCAUGUGUACUGGCCAUAGGCCCGAGCUGAAACUAAUUAUGAUUAAUUUGCUCGUUCUGUGAUGUGCGCUUACAUUAAUACCAUUGGCACCUUUGUAAAUUCUAUAAGCUAAAUCCAAUAUUGUAGGUGUUCUGCGACAACUCAAGUCACCUUCGUAAAUUCAGAAAGCCAAGGAGACAGGGUGCAUGAUUCAGUUAGUUACAAAAUUGCAGUAGCCAAAACACUAACCAUGUUCCACAUAGAAAACCAUUAAUUACAGAUAUAAAACGAACGGCUUAUAGCAUUAUGCUGUGCAACUGUUUGUUUUUUAGAACUCUAUUCUGAAAAUUCUAAUCCUGUAUAAUGUUGCAAUAGGUGAAAGGAAGAAGUUGAACCUGAAGAAGGGCAGGGAAGAAUUAUAGCUUUGUGUGGCCGGCUGGUUCAGGGGACGUGCAGGGCGGGCGCGGCUCCGCGGGUGCCGAGGCAGGCUCCUGGGUGGCUAUCUCGCGGAUGGGCCACACUGCAAGGGCAGGUUCGUGGGCGCCCGCUAUCUUGCUGACGGAUUACACGCUGUGAGCAGCAACAAUCGGCGGUGGCGAUCUUGCAGGGAGGCGACCGAGCGGUGCAGUGCCGCGAGGUAUCGAUGCGGGCAGGAGACGGGGUUGGUGGGAGGCACCCUGAUCAAGGGCGAGGGAAGCUAAUUUAGUUGAGUUUCCUUAUUAGUUUGCGAUCACAAUUGCAUAAUUGUAGGGGACGUGGGCUGGUACUUGGAAUAUUCCUCCGGUGGUGGAGUACGGUCAGUCAUAGGAAUUUGCUAAGUGCACACCGUAGAGGUAUUAGAUCAAUGAUGGCUGUUAGAUUAGGACAUGUGGGACUAAUUGUGUGGUGUUGAUUGGUUCGUAUGUUUUGUGGUACUAAUUUUUGGGUGCACAUAAGAAAGUUCUUGUUUGAUUGUUUAAUAAUAGUGGAGAUGGAGAUAAUAUCUAUUUUUGAUUAUGUAAUGACCGACUGUUAUCUUGCUUCUUACUCAUGUAUCUUCAGAUUUAUGUAUCUGCCUGGGGUCUUGGCAUGUCCUUGAGCACGCAUCAGGUAUGUAUGUAUCUGUUGGUAUCUUAGUGCACUUUGUAGUUUCAGAGUAGCACUCUAUAAUUUGGCACAUACUGACAUGCCUAUGAGUGUAUAUGUAUGUGCAUGUGUACUGGCCAUAGGCCCGAGCUGAAACUAAUUAUGAUUAAUUUGCUCGUUCUAUGAUGUGCGCUUACAUUAAUACCAUUGGCACCUUUGUAAAUUCUAUAAGCUAAAUCCAAUAUUGUAGGUGUUCUGCGACAACUCAAGUCACCUUCGUAAAUUCAGAAAGCCAAGGAGACAGGGUGCAUGAUUCAGUUAGUUACAAAAUUGCAGUAGUCAAAACACUAACCAUGUUCCACAUAGAAAACCAUUAAUUACAGAUAUAAAACGAACGGCUUAUAGCAUUAUGCUGUGCAACUGUUUGUUUUUUAGAACUCUAUUCUGAAAAUUCUAAUCCUGUAUAAUGUUGCAAUAGGUGAAAGGAAGAAGUUGAACCUGAAGAAGGGUAGGGAAGAAUUAUAGCUUUGUGUGGCCGGCUGGUUCAGGGGACGUGCAGGGCGGGCGCGGCUCCGCGGGUGCCGAGGCAGGCUCCUGGGCAGUGGCUAUCUUGCGGAUGGGCCACACUGCAAGGGCAGGUUCGUGGGCGCCCGCUAUCUCGCUGACGGAUUACACGCUGUGAGCAGCAACAAUCGGCGGUGGCGAUCUUGCAGGGAGGCGACCGAGCGGUGCAGUGCCGCGAGGUAUCGAUGCGGGCAGGAGACGGGGUUGGUGGGAGGCACCCUGAUCAAGGGCGAGGGAAGCUAAUUUAGUUGAGUUUCCUUAUUAGUUUGCGAUCACAAUUGCGUGUGUAGGGGACGUGGGCUGGUACUUGGAAUAUUCCUCCGGUGGUGGAGUACGGUCAGUCAUAGGAAUUUGCUAAGUGCACAUCGUAGAGGUAUUAGAUCAAUGAUGGCUGUUAGAUUAGGACAUGUGGGACUAAUUGUGUGGUGUUGAUUGGUUCGUAUGUUUUGUGGUACUAAUUUUUGGGUGCACAUAAGAAAGUUCUUGUUUGAUUGUUUAAUAGUAGUGGAGAU
This 3014-nucleotide long non-coding RNA is filed under the name Triticum aestivum (bread wheat). RNAcentral describes it as "long non-coding RNA (TAES_LNC012155)". Lineage: Eukaryota; Viridiplantae; Streptophyta; Magnoliopsida; Poales; Poaceae. The record is from RNAcentral.